Molecule: transfer RNA, 69 nt
Filed under: Ictidomys tridecemlineatus (thirteen-lined ground squirrel)
Lineage: Eukaryota; Metazoa; Chordata; Mammalia; Rodentia; Sciuridae
Description: Spermophilus tridecemlineatus (thirteen-lined ground squirrel) tRNA
Rfam family: tRNA
About the family: Transfer RNA (tRNA) molecules are approximately 80 nucleotides in length.
Source: Rfam by way of RNAcentral
GGGGUUGUGGCUCAGUGGCAGAGUGCUCGCCUCACACAUGUGAGGCACUGAGUUCAAUCCUCAGCACCA